Molecule: ribosomal RNA, 442 nt
Filed under: uncultured bacterium
Lineage: Bacteria
Description: partial 16S ribosomal RNA
Rfam family: Bacterial small subunit ribosomal RNA
Source: RNAcentral
CCUACGGGAGGCAGCAGUGAGGGAUAUUGGUCAAUGGGGGAAACCCUGAACCAGCAACGCCGCGUGAGGGAAGACGGUUUUCGGAUUGUAAACCUCUGUCCUCUGUGAAGAUAAUGACGGUAGCAGAGGAGGAAGCUCCGGCUAACUACGUGCCAGCAGCCGCGGUAAUACGUAGGAUCCGAGCAUUAUCCGGAGUGACUGGGUGUAAAGAGUUGCGUAGGUGGCAUAAUAAGUAGCUAGUGAAAUCUGGUGGCUCAACCAUUCAGACUAUUAGCUAAACUGUUAAGCUCGAGACCGUUAGGGGUAACUGGAAUUUCUAGUGUAGGAGUGAAAUCCGUAGAUAUUAGAAGGAACACCAAUAGCGUAGGCAGGUUACUGGGACGGUUCUGACACUAAGGCACGAAAGCGUAGGGAGCAAACGGGAUUAGAUACCCGAGUAGUC